This 596-nucleotide ribosomal RNA is filed under the name Cystofilobasidium infirmominiatum. RNAcentral's name for it is "eukaryotic LSU rRNA". It matches the Rfam family "Eukaryotic large subunit ribosomal RNA", at positions 62 to 648 of the family's 3401-position model. The record is from RNAcentral. Lineage: Eukaryota; Fungi; Basidiomycota; Tremellomycetes; Cystofilobasidiales; Cystofilobasidiaceae.
AAACUAACAAGGAUUCCCCUAGUAACGGCGAGUGAAGCGGGAAGAGCUCAAAUUUAAAAUCUGGCAGGCUACGCUUGUCCGAAUUGUAAUCUCGAGAAGUGUUUUCCGCGUUGGCCUGUGUACAAGUCCCUUGGAACAGGGCGUCAUAGAGGGUGAGAAUCCCGUCCUUGACACAGACACCCAAUGCUUUGUGAUACACUCUCAAUGAGUCGAGUUGUUUGGGAAUGCAGCUCAAAAUGGGUGGUAAAUUCCAUCUAAAGCUAAAUACUGGCGAGAGACCGAUAGCGAACAAGUACCGUGAGGGAAAGAUGAAAAGCACUUUGGAAAGAGAGUCAAACAGUACGUGAAAUUGUUGAAAGGGAAACGAUUGAAGUCAGUCGUGCCUGCCUAGAUUCAGCCUUCUGGUGUAUUUCUAGGUCGGCAGGUCAGCAUCAGUUUGGGGGGGUUAACAAGGGAGCUGGGAAUGUGGCAACCUCGGUUGUGUUAUAGCCCAGUUUCGCAUUGAUCUCGCUGGACUGAGGAACGCAGUGCGCCCGCAAGGGUUGGUCUUCGGACACAUUCGCACUUAGGAUGCUGGCAUAAUGGCUUUAAACGAC